AAUUAGGAAAAAUUUUAGAACGGAAAGGAAAAUGAGAGAAAAAAUAUUAGUAGCAUUUAGGUAAAUAAAUUAAGUAUAUUUAUAGAGAGAGUGGUAGUUCUGGUUGGUGAUUGUUCUUUAUUGUCUCUAUCAAUCUUUCUUCAAAAAAAGAAAAAAAGAAAAACCCUAAGCUUAAAGAUUCACUUAAUAUUUGCUCUAAGCGUUUAGAUCUUGCCUCGACUCGAGUUAACUCUCCGAUCUGCUGUGUCGACUCAAUGUUGAACGCCGUGCAUCCGCUGAGAGGUUGAAAUGCUGAGGAAUGCCUUUUCUUUUCUUUUUUUGAUUGAUUGAUAAUUUCAAUGAUAAUCUACGAAAAUGUCGGCUUCGUUAGCGGCAUUCGAGCGGCCCAGAGGGGGAGCCUCAAACACGGUUUUCAAGAGUGGCCCUCUUUUCAUAUCCUCAAAAGGCAUCGGUUGGAAGUCUUGGAAGAAGAGGUGGUUUAUCCUCACACGGACUUCCUUGGUGUUCUUCAAAAAUGAUCCUAGUGCCCUACCACAAAGGGGUGGUGAAGUUAACUUGACUUUGGGGGGCAUUGACUUGAAUAAUUCUGGAAGUGUUGUUGUUAGAGAAGAUAAAAAAUUGUUGACUGUGUUGUUUCCUGAUGGACGUGAUGGACGGGCUUUUACUCUUAAGGCAGAGACAUCAGAGGAUUUGUAUGAGUGGAAGACAGCCCUAGAACAUGCUCUUGCACAAGCGCCAAGUGCUGCACUCGUCAUGGGACACAAUGGGAUUUUCCGAAAUGACACAAGUGAUACAAUUGAAGGGUCAUUCCAUCAAUGGAGAGACAAACGCACUGUUAAAUCGUUGGUUGUUGGUAGACCAAUUUUGCUUGCGCUUGAAGAUAUUGACGGGAGCCCAUCAUUCCUUGAGAAAGCUCUGCGGUUUCUUGAGAAGUUUGGAACUAAAGUUGAGGGAAUUCUACGUCAGUCUGCAGAUGUUGAGGAGGUUGAUCACAGAGUUCAAGAAUAUGAACAGGGCAAGACUGAAUUUGGUUCUGAUGAGGAUGCUCAUGUUGUGGGAGACUGUGUGAAGCAUGUGCUAAGGGAGCUACCCUCAUCCCCAGUUCCUGCAUCCUGCUGCACUGCGUUGCUGGAGGCUUACAAAAUUGAUCGGAAGGAAGCUCGAAUAAGUGCAAUGCGCUCUGCGAUAUUAGAGACAUUUCCUGAACCAAACCGGCGUCUAUUACAAAGGAUUCUGAAGAUGAUGCAUACAAUUUCAUCUCAUGCUCACGAGAAUCGAAUGACUCCAUCUGCUGUAGCUGCUUGCAUGGCACCCUUGCUUUUACGCCCCCUAUUAGCAGGUGAAUGUGAGUUGGAGGAUGACUUUGAUGUUAAUGGUGAUAAUUCUGCCCAGCUUCUUGCUGCUGCAAAUGCUGCUAAUAAUGCUCAAGCCAUCAUUACAACUCUUCUGGAGGAGUAUGAGAAUAUUUUUGAUGAUGAAAAUCUACAAAGAUGUUCUAUUUCAGCUGAUUCUCGGGUUGAAAAUAGUGUUAGUGAAGAUUCGACUGAUGAUGAAAAUCCAGAUAUGAAAGACAAUGGUUACCAUGAUGCCGAAAAUGAAGCUGAUCCAGACACAGAUGAUGAACCUGAACGUGUUCUCAGUGGGAAAUUAAGUGAAAGCAGUGGUUAUGCAGGCAGUGAUCUGUAUGACUACAAGGCAUUUGGGGAUGAUGGUUCAGAUGUUGGAUCCCCUAGAGACAAUCAUACUCAGGCUGAGAGUUCAGGCUUAACUGUAGGCCCUCUACAGAUGAGAGAUCCCGAUGCUCAGCUGGAGGAACAAGGUAAGCAAAAUAAAGGAAAUGAAAAUCCAAAUAAUGAGAUAGAUGUCUCAAGUGUGCUACCUACUAGUGAAUCUUACCGAUCAAUGGGUGAGAUUCUUUCUUCAAUGGAUCCUGGCCAUCCUAUAUCUAUGCCUGGAGUUGAAUCUUCCACUGAGAAGCCUGUUGGUAAAGCUAAAGGCUCCAGUCUUAAUGCAAAGAGAUCAACAUUCUGGGGAAGAAGCAAUGCCAGAAAGACACCAUCGAUGGAAUCUGUUGAUUCUUCUGGCGAAGAAGAGCUUGCUAUACAGAGGCUUGAGGUUACAAAGAAUGAACUGCAACAUCGUAUCGCGAAAGAGACUAGAGGAAAUGCAAUUUUACAAGCUAGCUUGGAAAGAAGAAAACAAGCUUUGCAUGAACGUCGCCUGGCACUUGAACAAGAUGUCUCUAGAUUGCAAGAGCAGCUACAAGCUGAACGAGAUCUUCGAGCAGCACUUGAAGUUGGAUUGAGCAUGUCAUCUGGACAAUUUUCUAGUUCCCGUGGAAUGGAUUCCAAGACGAGGGCCGAGCUUGAGGAGAUUGCUCUUGCCGAAGCUGAUGUGGCCAGAUUGAAGCAGAAAGUUGCAGAACUCCAUCAUCAGCUGAAUCAGCAAAGGCAGCAUCACUAUGGUUCUCUCUCUGAUGCAUGUGACCGUUAUCAACAUGUUCAAAAUCAUAACUCUCAACAGAGGUUUCUUCAGCAAGAUUUUGACACAACCCUUGCUUUUUGUAAUCAUGAGAGGAAACAAAGAACAGAGGAAAAUUUGUUAGGGGCGGACUGGAGGAAUGUUAAAGGACAGGGGUUGGCAGUUGGCAACAGCAGCAGGCAGCCUAUUCGAAAGCAAUUUAUGGAUUCAACAAGCUUGAGUGACUCAAAAAGUACUGAAGCAUCAGCAAAUGUGACCAUGGAUGAGCUUUGUGUGGUUGAUUCUGCCUCUAUCCCAUCCACUUCUAGAGCAGCAGAGGUGAUUGAUUAUCCACGACAUCCAUCAGCAGCUUCUUCUGCUUUGGUAGAAUUAACAACCCGUCUUGAUUUUUUCAAGGAAAGGCGUUCCCAACUAAUGGAGCAGCUCCACAACCUUGAUCUGAACUAUGGCACGUCUUCUCAGGAUUUUGUAUACAGACCAUCAUCACCCCCAUGGAACUAACCAGAGAUGAACAAUGUUGUCUUGUUGUACAUCCUAAAUUGUUGCAUAUAAAUGUAUUUCUUGUAGUCUUGCUCGUUUAAAAUUUAUUUCUUUUUUUCUUCGCGUUUUUUGGGUUGUGAGAAGGUGAUUGGAGUUGUAACCAUGCUGUUUAUUUUUUGUCAGACAUUGUAAAGAUACCAGUAACAAUGUCAAUAGUAGGUGGAGCGUGGAGGAGCCCUACGACUCCCUUUCCAAGAUUGAACGUGAGAUCUCUAAGUUGAGAAGUCUCAAGUUCUAUGUAAUGUUAUGUUAUACUCCGUAUUACAUUAUGCCACCAUCAAAUAUUCAAAUGCACUAUCGGAAGAAGAUAAGCACUCAGCCACCAAUCCUACCAGGGGACCUGUUAAUAGAAAUACUUGUGAGGGUACCCGUGAAGUCUCUUUCGCGGUGUAAGGGAGUGUGCAAAUCCUGGCGAGCUUUGAUCGAUGAACACCUUGAUAAAAGCCAGCGAACACAACAACCCUGAUAAUCCAAGGUCAGAGGUGACUCAUUCUCAGAACAGUCAACUACACAUGGCUCAUCCCCGGUAGUGAAAGAGGUUAGAGGUGACUUUGUUUCUGUGGAAUCCAUCAACCAGGGAAAACAAGGUUGGAGAAACAAUAAUGAAUCAAAUUUAUAUAGCUCCGAAGCUGCUGCACUUGGCUACGAUUUUUACCCCAAAAGUUACAAGGCGGUGACGGUUGGCACAAACGAAUUGAAAGUCUUUGAUAUGUUAAAACUAAUUUUUGGACACGUAUUGUUGAUGGUAUAAACGUUUCCACAGGCAUGAAAACGCCGUGACCCUGGUUAAUGUUAAGGAGUAUUAUGCAAGGCUGAAUGUUGAGUGUUGAGUUUGAAGCAAUGCUCUCAUAUUGCAUGUCCCAUUUAUGUUGUAUUCAGCUGUGUUAGCAAAAGCCUGAUCUUUUUCUCUAA
Molecule: RNA transcript, 3933 nt
Organism: Theobroma cacao (cacao)
Lineage: Eukaryota; Viridiplantae; Streptophyta; Magnoliopsida; Malvales; Malvaceae
Gene name: Rho GTPase activation protein (RhoGAP) with PH domain-containing protein
Source: RefSeq, a predicted model, not a curated record